RNAcentral lists this non-coding RNA (30 nucleotides) under Rattus norvegicus (Norway rat). The record is from RNAcentral. Lineage: Eukaryota; Metazoa; Chordata; Mammalia; Rodentia; Muridae.
UCAAUACAUUAUGGCUGUCACUAUUUGCAC